This 482-nucleotide ribosomal RNA is filed under the name uncultured bacterium. RNAcentral's name for it is "partial 16S ribosomal RNA". It matches the Rfam family "Bacterial small subunit ribosomal RNA", at positions 30 to 507 of the family's 1533-position model. The record is from RNAcentral.
AUUGAACGCUGGCGGCAUGCCUUACACAUGCAAGUCGAACGGUAACAGGUUUUCGGCUGCUGCCGAGUGGCGGACGGGUGCGUAAUACUUCGGAAUGUGCCCAGACGUGGGGGAUAACGAGGCGAAAGCUAGGCUAAUAUCCCCUACGACCUCAGGCUGACAGCGGGUGACCGCAAGGCAUUGCGCGUCCUGAGCGGACGGUGGCAGAUUAGGUAGUUGGUGGGAUAAAGGCCUACCAAGCCGACGAUCUGUAGCUGGUCUGAGAGGAUGAGCAGCCACACUGGAACUGAGACACGGUCCAGACUCCUACGGGAGGCAGCAGUGGGGAAUAUUGGACAAUGGGCGCAAGCCUGAUCCAGCAAUGCCGCGUGCGUGAUGAAGGCCUUCGGGUUGUAAAGUGCUUUUGUAGGGAACGAAAAGGCGCUGGCUAAUACCUGGGUGUCAUGACGGUACCGAAAGAAUAAGCACCGGCUAACUACGUG